UAGGGAAUCUUCCACAAUGGGCGAAAGCCUGAUGGAGCAACGCCGCGUGUGUGAUGAAGGGUUUCGGCUCGUAAAACACUGUUGUAAGAGAAGAAUGACAUUGAGAGUAACUGUUCAAUGUGUGACGGUAUCUUACCAGAAAGGAACGGUAAAUACGUGCCCG
This 163-nucleotide ribosomal RNA is filed under the name uncultured bacterium. Its description in RNAcentral is "partial 16S rRNA". It matches the Rfam family "Bacterial small subunit ribosomal RNA", at positions 355 to 511 of the family's 1533-position model. The record is from RNAcentral.